RNAcentral lists this ribosomal RNA (458 nucleotides) under uncultured bacterium. RNAcentral describes it as "bacterial SSU rRNA". It matches the Rfam family "Bacterial small subunit ribosomal RNA", at positions 340 to 786 of the family's 1533-position model. The record is from RNAcentral.
UACGGAAGGCAGCAGUGGGGAAUAUUGCACAAUGGGCGAAAGCCUAAUGCAGCUAUGCCGCGUGUAUGAAGAAGGCCUUAGGGUUGUAAAGUACUUUCAUCGGGGAGGAAAAAACAAAACUAAUAAUUUUAUUUCUUGACGUUACCCGAAAAAGAAGCACCGGCUAACUCCGUGCCAGCAGCCGCGGUAAUACGGAGGGUGCUAGCGUUAAUCAGAAUUACUGGGCGUAAAGAGCACGUAGGUGGUUUUUUUAAAGUCAGAUGUGAAAUCCCUGGGCUUAACCUAGGAACUGCAUUUUGAAACUGAAAUACUAGAGUAUCGUAGAGGGAGGUAGAAUUCUAGGUGUAGCGGUGAAAUGCGUAGAUAUCUGGAGGAAUACCUGUGGCGAAAGCGGCCUCCUAAACGAAUACUGACACUGAGGGUGCGAAAGCGUGGGGAGCAAACAGGGAUUAGAUACC